Molecule: RNA transcript, 1088 nt
Organism: Zea mays
Lineage: Eukaryota; Viridiplantae; Streptophyta; Magnoliopsida; Poales; Poaceae
Exons: 3
Source: RefSeq, a predicted model, not a curated record
CUAAAUCAGAGUAGUGUCGCUCAAUGAAUUUCCUCUACUGAACUACGCAGCCUGCAGUGCCUGAGCUACCAAGAAUUUCAGAGCAAGGUCACCAGAAUGCCUUACAAAAGACGACUUCGACAUUGGAGGGUCUCAUUGCGGACGAUUCACACCACCAGCCCUCCUCUGCCCACAGCGAAGAUGGAGCUGCUAAUAAUGGGUCUAGGGAUAUCAGUGGGGAUUCUUCAUCUGUUGAUUUGAAAAGCCCAGUCCCACUAGGGACACAUGCAGAUGUCAUGGAAGACGAAGGAUGGAUCACAAUUCCAUGCAAGGCAUUUCCUGAAAGUUGGAACGACAUAUCAGAAAUGGUUCAGUUGCAAGCUCUGGACCGUUCCUUCCUUUUUCCAGGCGAGCAGGUUCCUAUACUGGCGUGCCUGUCAGCUUCUAAGCAAGAUGUAUAGGUUAUAUCCCCCUUUAGAAUUGCUUCACUAAUGUCUAAGAAUGGAACUUCUAUGUAAAACUUUACAAAUAAAUCUAGCCAUGUCAGUGCAAAUGGUCAUGAUAAUGGAGCAGCUGGAGAAAGUGGCUAUCAGGACGUUGAACUGAAUGGUGAAGCAUCUCCCUCAGAACAUGAUAUUUUGGAGACUCAAUCUCUCCUUCAGAUGGAGGAUCAUAAGCAACAGAUCGAACAUGUGUUGCGAAGAUUUAGAGAAUCAAUUUUUUUUUGUCCGGAUUGCGGAAUCAGUGGAACCUCUAUGGUCCAAGAAAAGUGUAACUUCAACUACGAUGGCAGAUGAACGAUCAGAUAACCAGGGAAAUAGUAAGACCUCAAGGAGUAAUGUUUAUAAUACCAUUUCUGAUAAAAGGAUUUUUGAUGGUAACACAUAUGGGGGAGUUGCUCGAGAUGUUGUCAAGUGUUAUUCUCUGCAAAAUGGAGACAUAGUGGUAUGUUUUGAAGGUUUUUUUAAUUACUGUGACAUUGUAUACUACAAGUCUACAACUUGUACUGCAUGACCUCUAGCCACUGGACGUUGAUGGACAUCACAUAAGUAACUGCAUGUUUUGUGCUCUAACCUAAGUUUAACCAAGCAGCAGGCACCUACUGGAAA